RNAcentral lists this ribosomal RNA (710 nucleotides) under uncultured bacterium. RNAcentral's name for it is "bacterial SSU rRNA". It matches the Rfam family "Bacterial small subunit ribosomal RNA", at positions 94 to 823 of the family's 1533-position model. The record is from RNAcentral.
AGCGGCGGACGGGUGAGUAACGCGGGGGUAACCUGCCCUAUACACACGGAUAACAUACCGAAAGGUAUGCUAAUACGAGAUAAUAUAAGAGAUUCACAUGGAUUUCUUAUCAAAGCUGAGGCGGUAUAGGAUGGACCCGCGUCUGAUUAGCUAGUUGGUAAGGUAACGGCUUACCAAGGCGACGAUCAGUAGCCGACCUGAGAGGGUGAUCGGCCACAUUGGAACUGAGACACGGUCCAAACCCCUACGGGAGGCAGCAGUGGGGAAUAUUGCACAAUGGGCGAAAGCCUGAUGCAGCAACGCCGCGUGAGUGAUGAAGGCCUUCGGGUCGUAAAACUCUGUCCUCAAGGAAGAUAAUGACGGUACUUGAGGAGGAAGCCCCGGCUAACUACGUGCCAGCAGCCGCGGUAAUACGUAGGGGGCUAGCGUUAUCCGGAUUUACUGGGCGUAAAGGGUGCGUAGGUGGUCUCUUAAGUCAGAGGUGAAAGGCUACGGCUCAACCGUAGCAAGCCUUUGAAACUGGGAAACUUGAGUGCAGGAGAGGAGAGUGGAAUUCCUAGUGUAGCGGUGAAAUGCGUAGGUAUUAGGAGGAACACCAGUUGCGAAGGCGGCUCUCUGGACUGUAACUGACACUGAGGCACGAAAGCGUGGGGAGCAAACAGGAUUAGAUACCCUGGUAGUCCACGCCGUAAACGAUGAGUACUAGCUGU